UACGGAGGGAGCUAGCGUUGUUCGGAAUUACUGGGCGUAAAGCGCGCGUAGGCGGCUUUGUAAGUUAGAGGUGAAAGCCCGGGGCUCAACCCCGGAACUGCCUUUAAGACUGCAUCGCUUGAAUCCGGGAGAGGGAUGUGGAAUUCCAGGUGUAGCGGUGAAAUGCGUAGAUAUCUGGAGGAACACCGGUGGCGAAGGCGGCAUCCUGGACCGGUAUUGACGCUGAGGAGCGAAAGCCAGGGGAGCAAACGGG
This 253-nucleotide ribosomal RNA is filed under the name uncultured bacterium. RNAcentral's name for it is "partial 16S ribosomal RNA". It matches the Rfam family "Bacterial small subunit ribosomal RNA", at positions 524 to 776 of the family's 1533-position model. The record is from RNAcentral.